UCGUAACAAGGUCUCCGUUGGUGAACCAGCGGAGGGAUCAUUACCGAGUUUACAACUCCCAAACCCCUGUGAACAUACCACUUGUUGCCUCGGCGGAUCAGCCCGCUCCCGGUAAAACGGGACGGCCCGCCAGAGGACCCCUAAACUCUGUUUCUAUAUGUAACUUCUGAGUAAAACCAUAAAUAAAUCAAAACUUUCAACAACGGAUCUCUUGGUUCUGGCAUCGAUGAAGAACGCAGCAAAAUGCGAUAAGUAAUGUGAAUUGCAGAAUUCAGUGAAUCAUCGAAUCUUUGAACGCACAUUGCGCCCGCCAGUAUUCUGGCGGGCAUGCCUGUUCGAGCGUCAUUUCAACCCUCAAGCACAGCUUGGUGUUGGGACUCGCGUUAAUUCGCGUUCCCCAAAUUGAUUGGCGGUCACGUCGAGCUUCCAUAGCGUAGUAGUAAAACCCUCGUUACUGGUAAUCGUCGCGGCCACGCCGUUAAACCCCAACUUCUGAAUGUUGACCUCGGAUCAGGUAGGAAUACCCGCUGAACUUAAGCAUAUCAAUAA
Molecule: unclassified non-coding RNA, 549 nt
Filed under: Fusarium oxysporum
Lineage: Eukaryota; Fungi; Ascomycota; Sordariomycetes; Hypocreales; Nectriaceae
Also listed under: 1 other name
Description: sequence contains 18S rRNA gene, ITS1, 5.8S rRNA gene, ITS2, 28S rRNA gene
Rfam family: 5.8S ribosomal RNA (bases 192-345)
Source: RNAcentral